GGGCUCGUAGCUCAGUUGGUUAGAGCGUUACGUUGACAUCGUAAAGGCCGCCCGUUCGAGUCGGGCCGGGCCCA
Molecule: transfer RNA, 74 nt
Filed under: bacterium
Lineage: Bacteria
Also listed under: 1 other name
Description: tRNA-Val
Rfam family: tRNA
About the family: Transfer RNA (tRNA) molecules are approximately 80 nucleotides in length. Their secondary structure includes four short double-helical elements and three loops (D, anti-codon, and T loops).
Source: RNAcentral